RNAcentral lists this ribosomal RNA (375 nucleotides) under uncultured Desulfovibrio sp. Its description in RNAcentral is "bacterial SSU rRNA". It matches the Rfam family "Bacterial small subunit ribosomal RNA", at positions 1007 to 1382 of the family's 1533-position model. The record is from RNAcentral. Lineage: Bacteria; Pseudomonadati; Thermodesulfobacteriota; Desulfovibrionia; Desulfovibrionales; Desulfovibrionaceae.
GGGAAGGGUGCCCUUCGGGAAUUCCGAGACAGGUGCUGCAUGGCUGUCGUCAGCUCGUGCCGUGAGGUGUUGGGUUAAGUCCCGCAACGAGCGCAACCCUAUUGCCAGUUGCUACCAGGUAAUGCUGGGCACUCUGGUGAGACUGCCCGGUUAACGGGGAGGAAGGUGGGGACGACGUCAAGUCAUCAUGGCCCUUACGCCUAGGGCUACACACGUACUACAAUGGCGCAUACGAAGGGCAGCGAUACCGCGAGGUGGAGCCAAUCCCAAAAAGUGCGUCCCAGUCCGGAUUGCAGUCUGCAACUCGACUGCAUGAAGUUGGAAUCGCUAGUAAUUCGAGAUCAGCAUGCUCGGGUGAAUGCGUUCCCGGGCCUU